UUCCAAAGAGAUAUCUUCAAUUGACACAUCAUUUAUUUGUUCUUUCAACUUUCUCCCUUCAUCGUUCUCUACUUUGAUCGCUGCAAAUCUCUUUUUAUUUUCCCCCAUUCAUCUCAGAUGUUGCUUUUGCUUAGGAGAUCAUACUAAAUCGAAGCUUCUCAUGUUUAAAGCUAUAUUCCCUUUCAAAAUUUAGUUGCAGGUAUGUCUAUUGAAGCUGCAUUAGCUUUAUCUACCUUUGGAGAAUGACUUGAUUAAUUGAAGUGAUUGAAGGUAGUCAGUCUGAUGAUUCACUUUAUUCAAGACACUGCAGUUCAUCGACGUCACUUGUGCUUACUGCCUUCUUUGCUAUCAAUCUUAUUCUACCAUCUGUUAUUGCAAGAGAUGGACUUGACUCUUGAGGCUCAUCGCACUAGCAUGGGAAGUGCCCGACAUGUUUGAACAAGUUAUUGGCAGCUUCCUUAAUGUGCUCUAUCUGCACACACAUCUAAAUUGAUUGGGUCAGUAUAUUUCAAAUAUCGAAUGAUUAUGACGAAGAAAAAGGACCGAUGAACUUCUUGAUUGGGAUGAAAAAUCUAUUAGGAAGUGCUUCUUUCUUAAUAUAUUUUAUGUGGUAGCAGAGAUAUUUUCUUCUUGCGUUUUAACUAUAACUUGGGGAAGCACAUUGAAGGAGCUUUAGGAGUUUUCGAGGAUAUCACUAACAUUGAAGAUUACUUUGAAGCUGUUGAAUUGAGGGCCACUGUGAUCAAUUUGAAGAACAUUUGUGUCUUACCUUUAUCUGGAGAAACAUUUUAAGUGCAAAAAGAAAUUUGUGUAAUACACAAACGCAGAUGCUUUUGUUUUCCCACGUAUAUGCAAUAUUAUUAUCUCCUCCAAUGCAAUGACAUUGUAUCACUUUUAACCUACUAUUGUAAAAAUUAUGUCUUUUAUAUAUUACACCAUUUUUUCUGAAA
Molecule: non-coding RNA, 950 nt
Organism: Solanum lycopersicum (tomato)
Lineage: Eukaryota; Viridiplantae; Streptophyta; Magnoliopsida; Solanales; Solanaceae
Source: RefSeq, a predicted model, not a curated record